This is a long non-coding RNA of Oryza brachyantha (malo sina), 857 nucleotides long. RefSeq lists it as uncharacterized. NCBI's taxonomy places the organism in Eukaryota, Viridiplantae, Streptophyta, Magnoliopsida, Poales, Poaceae. The transcript has 3 exons. The record is from RefSeq and is a predicted model, not a curated record.
CACGUCACCGGAUUUUUCUCCGCCGUCCGAUCUGGAAUGCGCGUUUGGAUGGGCGGGGGCUCUCCAUCGCACGCGUGGAGGCGCCGCGGUCGAGCUGUGCGCCACGCGCUCCCCUUCCCAGCCUCUACCGCUGCCCUUGAAUCCGUCGGCGAGCUGGCCGCUCCCCACCUCCCGUGACCUCCCCUGGAUUCCUCUUCCUCGUCGGGCGCCCCCGCCGGCCGCUCCCCUUCUCGCCGCUCUUCCCUCUCGCGUCUAUCGGUGUUCCGUCGCUCUUCUUGGUCGCUCCCCAGAACACUAGCCCGCUCUCUCCGCCUCGACAGCCGUCGGUGGCUCUAACGCCGGCGGGUGGUGCGGCGAGCCCUCGCCCGGCGGCUGACGGAACCGGCGGUGUCUCGCAGUGCUGUGGCUAGGGCCCGGUCCGUUGAAGGUGGCGGACGGUGCCGGCGGUUGAAGGUGGCGGACGGUGCUGGCGGCGGACGGCGGGUGCAGCAGGUGGCGGCUGACGCUAGAGGCUGGGGCGGCGAAGGCGGUGGUGGUCUUCCUCCUCGCCCUUGGACUCUCCGCUCGCCGCGGCGAACUCUGAUCUCCCGCCGUCGCCGGCCGCCGUAUUUGCUGCUGUUCCGGUAAGCAGCUGCAUCAGCAGAUUUCUUCCAUGGCUGUGGAGGGGGGUUCUCAUGGCCACCGGCUGCUCUCCCACCAUCAUAGCCUUCAUCAAGUACUGGGGGAAGCGGGAUGAGGCGCUCAUCCUCUCCAUCAACGACAGCAUCAGUGUCACCCUCGACCCCGACCAUCUCUCCGCCACCAUGUCAGGUCCUCAGAGCAAGUGCCAGAGCCUGUGUCAGAAGAAGGUUGUUCCG